This 1697-nucleotide ribosomal RNA is filed under the name Monodactylus argenteus (silver moony). Its description in RNAcentral is "16S rRNA". The stretch from base 98 to 1618 matches the Rfam family "Bacterial large subunit ribosomal RNA". The record is from RNAcentral. Lineage: Eukaryota; Metazoa; Chordata; Actinopteri; Monodactylidae.
CGCCCAAUAGCUAGCCCCCUAAACCAAAAACAACACACACCCAUUAAUAACCCCAAACACACUAACUAAACACUAAACAAACCAUUUUUCCCCCUGAGUAUGGGCGACAGAAAAGGGACUGUGGAGCAACAGAGAAAGUACCGCAAGGGAACGCUGAAAGAGAAAUGAAACAAACCAGUAAAGCCUAGAAAAGCAGAGAUUUUAACUCGUACCUUUUGCAUCAUGAUUUAGCCAGAAAAAGUCAAGCAAAGAGCACUUUAGUUUGACUCCCCGAAACUAAGUGAGCUACUCCAAGACAGCCUAUCAAUAGGGCGAACCCGUCUCUGUGGCAAAAGAGUGGGAAGAACUUUGAGUAGAGGUGACAGACCUACCGAACUUAGUUAUAGCUGGUUGCCUGGGAAAUGGAUAGAAGUUCAGCCUCCCAGCUUCUUUUUUCACUUUUCGUUUCAACCCCUUUUUGAUAACUUAAGAAACUGAGAGAGUUAAUCAAAGGGGGUACAGCCCCUUUGAUACAAGACACAACUUUUCCAGGAGGAUAAAGAUCAUAAUUAAACUAAAGGCAAAAUGUUCUGGUGGGCCUAAAAGCAGCCAUCCCUACAGAAAGCGUUAAAGCUCAGACAUACUAUUACCCCUCCUUAUCCCGAUAAGCCAAUCUUAUUCCCCUAAUCCUACUAGGCCGCCCCAUGCAGACAUGGGGGUGUCCAUGCUAAUAUGAGUAAUAAGAGAGUAAACCAACUCUCUCCCUGCACACCUGUACAUCGGAACGGACCACCCACCGAAUAUUAACGGCCCCAAACAAAGAGGGUAAUGAACAACAAACCAAACAACCAGAAAAUCAUCCAACAAACAACCGUUAAACCCACACUGGAGUGCUCUCAGGGAAAGACUAAAAGAAAGAGAAGGAACUCGGCAAACACAUAAAGCCUCGCCUGUUUACCAAAAACAUCGCCUCUUGCAAAAUUAAUGAAUAAGAGGUCCCGCCUGCCCUGUGACUAUAAGUUUAACGGCCGCGGUAUUUUGACCGUGCGAAGGUAGCGCAAUCACUUGUCUUUUAAAUGAAGACCUGUAUGAAUGGCAUAACGAGGGCUUAGCUGUCUCCUCUUUCAAGUCAAUGAAAUUGAUCCCCCCGUGCAGAAGCGGGGAUAAUAACAUAAGACGAGAAGACCCUAUGGAGCUUUAGACACCAAGGUAGAUCAUGUUAAACACCCCCAAACAAGGGGCCAAACCAGAUGAACCCUGCCCUAAUGUCUUUGGUUGGGGCGACCGCGGGGAAAUACAAAACCCCCAUGUGGACUGGGAAUACCCCUCCUACAACUAAGAGCUCCCGCUCUAAUAAACAGAAUUUCUGACCAACAAGAUCCGGCAAAGCCGAUCAACGGACCGAGUUACCCUAGGGAUAACAGCGCAAUCCCCUUUUAGAGCCCAUAUCGACAAGGGGGUUUACGACCUCGAUGUUGGAUCAGGACAUCCUAAUGGUGCAGCCGCUAUUAAGGGUUCGUUUGUUCAACGAUUAAAGUCCUACGUGAUCUGAGUUCAGACCGGAGUAAUCCAGGUCAGUUUCUAUCUAUGAUAUGAUCUUUUCUAGUACGAAAGGACCGAAAAGAAGAGGCCCAUACCCUAAGUACGCCUCACCCCCACCUACUGAAAUCAACUAAAAUAGGCAACAGGGCAUAUCCCCCUGCCUGAGAAAAUGGCAU